Molecule: ribosomal RNA, 428 nt
Filed under: bacterium
Lineage: Bacteria
Description: partial 16S ribosomal RNA
Rfam family: Bacterial small subunit ribosomal RNA
Source: RNAcentral
UAGGGAAUCUUCGGCAAUGGGGGCAACCCUGACCGAGCAACGCCGCGUGAGUGAAGAAGGUUUUCGGAUCGUAAAGCUCUGUUGUAAGAGAAGAACGUGUGUGAGAGUGGAAAGUUCACACAGUGACGGUACUUACCAGAAAGGGACGGCUAACUACGUGCCAGCAGCCGCGGUAAUACGUAGGUCCCGAGCGUUGUCCGGAUUUAUUGGGCGUAAAGCGAGCGCAGGCGGUUUAAUAAGUCUGAAGUUAAAGGCAGUGGCUUAACCAUUGUUCGCUUUGGAAACUGUUAGACUUGAGUGCAGAAGGGGAGAGUGGAAUUCCAUGUGUAGCGGUGAAAUGCGUAGAUAUAUGGAGGAACACCGGUGGCGAAAGCGGCUCUCUGGUCUGUAACUGACGCUGAGGCUCGAAAGCGUGGGGAGCAAACAGG